GGGCUCAUUUCCACGAGUUCCGUGCCGCAGCAAACGCAUUAAGUGCCCCGCCUGGGGAGUACGGCCGCAAGGCUAAAACUCAAAGGAAUUGACGGGGGCCCGCACAAGCGGCGGAGCAUGCGGAUUAAUUCGAUGCAACGCGAAGAACCUUACCAAGGCUUGACAUGCACGGGAAGCCACCAGAGAUGGUGGUCUCUUUGGACACUCGUGCACAGGUGGUGCAUGGUUGUCGUCAGCUCGUGUCGUGAGAUGUUGGGUUAAGUCCCGCAACGAGCGCAACCCUCGUCCCAUGUUGCCAGCGGGUUAUGCCGGGGACUCAUGGGAGACUGCCGGGGUCAACUCGGAGGAAGGUGGGGAUGACGUCAAAUCAUCAUGCCCCUUAUGUCUUGGGCUUCACGCAUGCUACAAUGGCCGGUACAAAGGGCUGCGAUGCCGUAAGGUGGAGCGAAUCCCAAAAAGCCGGUCUCAGUUCGGAUUGGGGUCUGCAACUCGACCCCAUGAAGUCGGAGUCGCUAGUAAUCGCAGAUCAGCAACGCUGCGGUGAAUACGUUCCCGGGCCUUGUACACACCGCCCGUCAAGUCACGAAAGUCGGUAACACCCGAAGCCCAUGGCCCAACCGUUCGCGGGGGGAGUGGUCGAAGGUGGGACUGGCGAUUGGGACUAAGUCGUAACAAGGUAA
This 680-nucleotide ribosomal RNA is filed under the name Cellulosimicrobium funkei. RNAcentral's name for it is "bacterial SSU rRNA". It matches the Rfam family "Bacterial small subunit ribosomal RNA", at positions 825 to 1499 of the family's 1533-position model. Lineage: Bacteria; Bacillati; Actinomycetota; Actinomycetes; Micrococcales; Promicromonosporaceae. The record is from RNAcentral.